Long non-coding RNA from Neopelma chrysocephalum (saffron-crested tyrant-manakin), 1509 nucleotides. RefSeq lists it as uncharacterized. The transcript is spliced from 2 exons. NCBI's taxonomy places the organism in Eukaryota, Metazoa, Chordata, Aves, Passeriformes, Pipridae. The record is from RefSeq and is a predicted model, not a curated record.
CUCCUUCCUUUACCAGAGACUUCCCCUGUGGCUCAGUCCUUCAGCUCCACUAAUUUUCUUUUGUACCACAGCUCCUUCCUUGCCAGUAAAACUGGUACAAGCCAUGUGGGGGUCAUAUAACAGUCACAUGGGAUGCAUAACUAUUUCGUAAAUGAUGGAUCAGUACAAAAACCCAGAAAGAAGGAAGUCAGAAUUUUCCAGAAAUGACAGGUUUUGCCACAGAAUUUACAUUCUUCUACUUCUUUACAAGCAGGCAGUCUGCCUCUGACCAAAGACUCUCUUCCUACCAGCAUGUUUUCUCUGGCAAAGACUCAAUUUUUAGAGCCUUUUGGAUACCAUCAGUUGCUGAAAUGACCCUGCAGAAGGGUCCAGAGACAGCUCCUCUCCAGAACUGCCUACAAACAGGCAGUAACUGGCCAUGCCUGCAGUGUUCGGGUACAUUGGUCUCAUGGUUGUCCUCGAGCAAAGGGACAGUGUUCUUGUCUGCUCUGCGCCUUGGAUGCUAGGGUUGCACUCACAGAUGGAGCCCCGGGGUGCUCCUCCAAGGCUGGCACUAUCAAUAUUAAUGAUUUUCUUCCUCUUCCACAUUCUGUGGCUCCUGGGAGACCAAGAACCCCAGCCUGGAUGCUUUUAAACAGCACUAUAUGAGACAAAGCCACAUUCCUUAGCUGUAAGUCUUUACAAUCACCCACCAGCUCUCCAAAACAAGUUCAGAGCAUGACUUCCAGCGAGGCAGAUGACGCAGUUCUUCAGGCCCAGAGAUGUUUUUCUGGACGAUGCAGCAAAGCUACUGGGCUCAGUACUGGGCUAAUUGGAUGCAACUGAACGGCUUUGAAAUAUAGGAAGUCAUACCAGAUGUUCUCAUGGUUCCUUCUGGCCUUAAAUCCUGUGAAUCUAUGAAUGAGUUUCUGAAUCUGUGAAAUCCAAAGUCCUGAAAAUACAAACAUAUGAGUAGAGUUAUAUUUCUGGCCCCCAGAUCAGAGGAAAGAUAUUGAAUGUGCAUUGUUGCGAUAAAUCAAAGAAGCAGCUAAAUCAGAGCUGUAAUAAAAGUCGACUGCAGAUCUUUGUGCAGAAAUUGGUCAUAUGUCAUGUGAGGACAAGGUUCAGAGAUGCGAUUUCUCAACAUCUGAAAUGACUUCUUUUGGGAGCAGCCCCUUCCAAGCACUGUGGUGGAGGAGAUCCUCCUCUGAACUUGGUCUUCUAUGCCACACAGGAGCACGUUUGACAAGUGACGAUCAAUGAGGCACUGAACACUGCUGACCACAGUGUAAUCGAGAUGAGCAUCCCUGCCAUGAAAACCAGCAGUGAAGCAUUCAAGUAAAGAGAAAGGGGGUUUGUUUUGUUGGACUUCCUUAAGGAGAAGCAUGUCAAAACUGAGGAAACUGAAAUCUGUAGUCAGCAAGUAAGCUUAUUCAGUCAUGGUCUAAGCACAGCCAGACAAUGUAUCCAGCCACUCUUCUCCUCUGAAAAAGGAUGAAGAUCAGCAACAACAACAAUUAAAAAAAAAAC